GAGCGAGGCACCAUACGUAAAUCUUCCGCGUCGCUACGUGACGUCAGUGCGAGCGACCCCGGGCCGGCUGCGUGGAGCUGGCGCUGCCUCUCCUGAAGCCGAGGCGCUAACUUGAGUGAAGAGGUCUAUAGGCUUUUUCACUUUUGGUUAUCUGCUCAGGCGCUCCUUGGGGUCGCGCAUGGUCUCGGACAGGGUUUGCAAGGACUUCGGAGCUAACCAGUUUGGAGCCAUAACCCUUUCGUACUUGCCAAAAAACUCUGGGCAAGACUCUUGAAUUUUGAGCCGCAGUAUUCUCGUUCAUAAGGUGAGAAUAAAAACAUCACCUAGGGUUGAUGUGAAGAGAGAUGAAAUCAUUGUGAAAUAGGAGAGUUAUUGCUUUCAACCAAUGACAUUUUCUGGAAACGUGCUGGAGAUAUGGCUGCAGCAGUGACGCCUGCAAACGACGUUCCUGUCAUCAUGAUGCUGACAUUUUAAUUGGGAAGCAGAUUGAAACGAUAACUAAGGAAUUUGACAGGAGCAUUUAGUAGGACCUGUAAAGAAAUUAAAGCAGGUCCGAGGUGGAGUUUUGUAAACUAUAUGCCUGAAUAGAACUUUCUGUUUCCAAGGGAAUUGUUACAGUUGGAGACAUGUCAAUUAUUACAAUAAGCGUCAAGGGCAAUAACAGAGGUGUUUUAAAGCUACUGUCUGGUGGCAGAAUAAUCGGGAUUUUUUUGUUUGGGGGGUUUUAGCCGGGGGAGGGACUGCGAAGACAGCUCUGCAUCAAAACAGUACGUGAGAAAAAAGCAUAGGACGCUCUCGCAGCCGUAGUUGUUGGUGACAAGAAACUGUGCUUCUAAUCUAAGCAAAAAAUAUCUCCACAUGCCAACUAUACUUUUCCAAGAUGUACCAUGGACUACUCAAACUAACACAGCCUUAUUUAUGUAUUUAGGUUGGAAGUGGGCAAAAGUGUAUCUUGUCUAUGUUUCUAUGUUUCUACGUUGGGAUGACACCAUCAUCCACCCAGCCAGACAGUUAUCAACCUUCCCACUUUCUUAACCUCUUACAUCCGAUUAGACCCUAUGUCCUCUAGUUCUCAGUCUUGAGACCAGCACCCAGCUGGCUACAUCAGAAUUGCCGGUGGUGAUGUUUUAGAAGAUUCCAAAUUCCUGGACUCCAUCCCCGGAGGUUCAUCCCCUAGUUUUCUAGUGAGGGGCCUAGAACCUGCGUUUUUUAAGUGUCAUGUUCAUCGCCAUUACUGCUACUUUAGUUCAGGUCUUCUUGGUCAGCUUUUUCCUAAAACGUUUUCAGUUUUGUUUGCCUCUGAUUGACUCUGAAUUGCUGCCAAAAUGAUGUUUUAUUAUUCCAGUAUCAUCAUCCAACUCUCUGAUAUUAAUGAUACCUUUUUUAAAGUUUUUCUUCCCUUGCAGUAUCUAUUUCCCUCAAGUUUCCUUUUUUUUUCUUCUGUUGAUUUUGUGCUCUAUCUUUCACAUUAGAGGCUUUCCUAGGAUGUCUGGUGGUCCUUAUCUGCUCAUAUGUAAGUGGGGGUAUAUUUAAAAGUUGAUUGGAAGCUGUUGAGCCCAUGGGACGUUUGUUGAAAAUCAAGUGGGAGAGGAGGGGUAUGGAGGCUGCGGUAUGUCUCAGAAUUUAGUACAAUUUUCACUUAAUUCUCUUUGUUUUAGGUGCCUGAUGUCCUCCAUUACAGAGACCCCGUUUUACUCCUGAGCAAUAAAAAAAGGCUUCAGAAUAAGGCGGGGGCCGGGGGUGGCAUAAAGGAUAUAACACUCUCCUAAAUGAACUUCCAGUCCUUUUAGGUACCCUCUUCACUUCUACUUCCUGAAGCCAGUUUCUUAGUUUUUUAGGGGGUUCUGUGAUACAAAUAGAAUUGCUUGUUGGUUUUGCUCACUGGGGGUUUAGAAUUCAGGUUUUUCAAGUCAACUGAGCCCUUUGCUAUUGAUUCCAGAAUUUCAUUUCCAUUAUUCCUUUUCUUUAAUCCUUAAGGGUGUAUGACUUUAAAAAUCCUGUUACUGUCAUUUUCAGGGAGUCUUAGGGAGCAAAUGUAGAACACUAUGUUUAAGACAGCAUUUUUACCUGAUAAUCCAAGGUGAUCAUUCUAAAACAUAUACCAGAUCAGUCAUAGCAUUCUUCUAUGAGAAUAAGAAGCUUCAAUGAUCCCUCGUUGCCUGCAUAACAUUCAGACUCUUCAGCAAGGUAAACAAGAGAGUUCAUUUUCUUUCCAACCUGAUAUCUCACAGCAGGCCACUGCUCCCCCACCCAUCUUCCACAUUCCCCACACCUGAUACUGUAAACUCUAGUCAUAAUGAAAGGCUAGUAAGAGUUCUGAGAAUACAAAGUCCUUAUCAUGUUUCCACACCUGUUUUGGCUGGGCUCAGGCUGAAAUACCCUUCUUUCUCCAUGCCUGCUUGAUGAAAAUACAGCUUAAACAUGACUUCCUCAGUGAUGCCUUUCUUCAAGCCCUAAAGAAUAAUUUAUCCAGACUCCUCCAAACUCCAUCCCACGAACCCAUCAUACUCUUGGGAGGGGUCAUUUGUCAUGGGACCUGCAAAUUCUGGGUUUGCCAAGAAUGUAAGGUCCUAACUGCUCUUUACCUAGAUCAUUUUUCAGGGUUGUUUGGGAUGAUCAGUUUCAUAGCUGAAGUAUUCUUCCCAAAGAGUAGGCUUGCUUCCACUUAACUACAAAAGUAUGGAAUCCCCCAAACUCAGUAUUCCUCUCCUAUAAUGUAACCCACUGACUGCAUGUGCAGACAUCCAUGGAAGCCCAUCUUCACCAUCCUGGUGGGACUUGGGGGACAUGGAAAAUGCAUAAACAUGAAGUUCUGGCUUCUGCUUUUGCCAUAAAUUACAAAGUUCUUUGUCACCCAGGAAUCCAAGUUUACUGCCAUAAAACAGUUAACAGGCUAUCUUACUAACUUUAAAAUAGGUUUCAAUACCAGACCCUUCCCAGACAGCGACAUAUAUUUCUUACAGCAUCAGUUGUUACUGUUGCUGCAUUAUUUCCAAAUCUGACCUCCUAUACUAAAUAGCACCCUUAUAGCAGGGAUUCAUGUCUUAGGCGCUUGUUUCCCAAACUAUUUUUUUUUUUACUCAGCUCCAUCCACUUACACUGUUCCAGUUGCAGGGAAAUAUCAAAUGCCCACCCUGUACCCUGCUGAUAUUUUGUACCUUGACUGGCACACUCUACUUAUUUUAAGGCUUAUCUCUCAGUUGUCAAUGUCAUUGUUUCCUUAAAAAGUUCAAAAAUAAUUUGGAAAAUCCUUGACCCUACCUGAAACAAGGUUAGGUCCUCCUGUUAUGUGCUGUUGUACCACAUAUCACAGUUGGGAUAAUAAGGCAUUGUGUGAGUUACUCUAAGUGUUCAGCUGCUCAGGAGAAGGCAGAGAGCAAAUUAGUGGUUGAGUUUUUCAGGCUUGGUGUUUUGACAGGUGUAUUAGUCUGUUCUCACAUUGCUUUAAGUAAAUAUCUGAGACUGGGUAAUUUAUAAAGAAAAGAGGUUUAAUUGACUCGGUUCCACAUGGCUGGGGAGCCCUCAGGAAACUUAAAAUCAUGGUGGAAGGCACCUCUUCACAGGGCACGAGGAAAGAAUAUGUAACUAUGGAAGUACACUGGAAGGCCAGGAGUGGUGGUGGCUCACACCUGUAAUCCCAGCACUUUGGGAGGCCGAGGCAGGUGGAUCACGAGGUCAAGAAAUCAAGACCAUCCUGGCCAAUACAGUGAAACCGUCUCUUUGAAAAAUAUAAAAAUUAAUUUGGCAUGGUGACACACGCCUGUAGUCCCAGCUACUCUGGAGGCUGAGGCAGGAGAAUCACUUGAACCCAGGAGGUGGAGGUUGCAGUGAACCGAGAUUGCGCCACUGCACUCCAGCCUGGUGACGAAGUGAGACUCCAUCUCAAAAAAUAAAUAAAUAAAUAAAAAUAAACCUCACUGUUUGUUUUAACAAUAACAAGCGUGGUAAGGGUGGUGUCAGUCCAUAAGUUAGAUAGGCAGUUGCUAGGCAGAUGUCGUUGCAGAAGUAUGUGUGUGUGUGUGUGUGUUGUGUUUAAGGUUGUGGUGGCCUUUGUGCAGGUUGUAAAUUUUUGUAGUCUUUUGAUAGUUCUUGUUAUCAACCAUAUGUACAUGAGAACCCUUCCCCUUCAUGGCGUUUCCUGGCUCCGUUUGCCAGGGUUUUAAUACGAGUGACUCCAUUUUGAAUCUGACAACUUUCACAUUUCCCCUUUUGAUCAAGGUCUUUCUCAAAAGCAUCACUGAUCAAUCAUCCUGUAUUUAGGUUUUGAUAUCUCUUGGUGCCAGUCUGCCCUCAUGUUGAAGGGAGUCACUGGUAACUAGGAAUUAGCAUCAAAACCCUUUAGCCACAUUUGAACAACAAAAGAGGUUUGGAGGGAGUGGAUCUCAGGCUAAGUCUACCUGGAGUCCACUGUUAAGUUCAAUUCUGUCUGUUCCAUAGGCACUGUCUAUCAUCUCAAAGUGCUGGGAGAGCAUUAUUCUCUUAGGAGUUGCAUUUCUAUGCAAAUUUGACAAGAAACAGGUAUAAAGUUCUUAAAAAAAAAAAAAAGAAAAUACAAAGUAACAAUCUCAGCAUAAUAGUUUUCAGCCGUGAACCUAGGCUUAAAGACAACCAGUUGAAUAAAUCAAAUGAUCAUGAAGAAUUAGGUGAGACUUAUUAUACCAUGUGGGCUAUUUUCUUAUUUUGUGUAUAUAAAUUCCCCAAAGGAAUGUAUCCAGGUACAGCAUGUAGUAUGAGCAAAAGCACAGACAUCUCUUUGUUUAGCUGGUACACAGCAAUCCUAUUACUUAGCAUUCCAUGACUGGCUUGAAUUAAAGCAGAGAGAGCUAACUCUGUUUUAAAAAAGACCAUUAGUACAAUUUGAACAAAAAGUUUACUGAGGAUGUUGCCAGUAUUACCCCCUGGGUGGACUAAAGGAUUUAUGAAGUCAGAUUCUGUCAAGUCACCCACAAUAUCUACCGAUUGUGAAAUUAUCCUGCCAAAUCAAAGAGGUAGGCAUAAACAAGGAAGAAUUAAGAGGGGCAAGAGUGUCAUUAGGAUGGGGAGUUAUGUUCCAUCAUCUUGGGAAAAGCUGCCCACAGUAUGGAGAUGUUAGCUUUUCAUUCUGGUUUACAGUUUUAAUGUCUCUGGUUAUAGCAUUGGGCAGUUUUGUGAACCUUUGGGCAUGAGAUUUCUCCCUUAAAAUUCAGUUAAGUUUGAGCUUGGGCUUUAAGAACAUAGCAAGUCUCGUUUUUAGUAAUUCUAUGGAAGAAAGUUGGAUUGGAGGAACCUAGAAGAAUUAAAGAUCCAGUCCAGCGACCAAGGUUUACCUAGUUGCACAGAAAUUUUCUUAACACUGGCAGGUGCCCUACUAGUAAUCUUUCUUGUCUGUGACCAGUUUAUCCUUAACAUGGGAGACUUUUUCUUUGGAUACCUUCAAUAUUUUCAGAGUGGUAUUUUCAGAGUGGUGCCUUUCACUUAGUUAAUAUGCAUUUAUGUUCCUUCUGUCAUUUAAUGGCUUGAUUGCUCAUUUCUUUUAAGCACUGAAUAAUAUUCUAUUGUCUGAAUGUACUACAGUUUAUCUAUUCAUUUACCUACCCACCCUGACACUUUGAAUCUAAUCCUGCUCUUCCAUGACACUCCCUCUUUCCCCAUAGUGCUUCCUAGGAACUUGCCACGAUGUAGUGCUUACUUAGUACUGCUUUUCUAAUUACUUAAUUUGUCCCUCAUAGUCAACCAGCAGUUUUGCCUGGUUCAUAAGAGAUGGCCUAUUUAUUGAAAUGCCUGGAUCAGAGAAAUAAGAUAUGACUAGCUGGUGCCAAGAAUGGAGCCUGGAAGUUGUCUCCAUGCUGUUUACCAUAAAGCACUAACUAAAGUCACUAUUUAAAAAAAAAAAAAAAAGGACACACAUAU
RNAcentral lists this long non-coding RNA (5889 nucleotides) under Homo sapiens (human). RNAcentral describes it as "non-protein coding lnc-PAICS-3:1". The record is from RNAcentral. Lineage: Eukaryota; Metazoa; Chordata; Mammalia; Primates; Hominidae.